GGAGAAUAAGAGCUCGUAGGCUUCCUGUCGCGUCUGAUGUGAUCCCCGGGGCUUCCCCCGGGUCUGCAUUCUAUACGGGCAGGCUAGAUUUCGGAAGGGGAGAUCGAAAUUCCUGGUGUAGCGGUGAAAUGCGCAAAUAUCAAGAGGAACACCGGUGGCAAAGGCGGAUCUCUGGGCCGAUACUGACUCUGAAGAGCGAAAGCGUGGGGAACGAACAGGAUUACAUACCCUGGUAGUCCACGCCGUAAACGUUGGGAACUAGGUGGGGGCUACAUUCCACGUCGUCCGUGCCACAGCUAACACAUUAACUUCCGGGCCGGGGGAGUACGGACACAAAGCUAAAACUCAAUGGAAUUGACCGGGCCCCGCACGAGCAGCAUAUCAUGUGGCUUAAUUCAACGCAACGCCAAGAACCUUACCAAGGCUUGACAUACACUGGAAACAGGUGGAGAUGUCCGCCCCCUUGUGGUCGGUGUACAGGUGGUGCAUGGUUGUCGUCUGCUCGUGUCGUGAGAUGUUGGGUUAAGUCACGCAACGCGCGCAACCUUUGUUCUGUGUUGCCAUCGAUUUAUGUCGGGGACUCACAGGAGACUGCCAGGGUCGAGUCGGAGGAAGGUGGGGACGACGUCAAAUCAUCAUGCCCCUUAUGUCUUGUGCUGCACACGUGCUACAAUAGGACGGUACAAUGAGCUGCGAUACAUCAAGUAGAACAAAUCCCUAAAAGCCGAGUCUCAGUUUCUAAUUGGGGGUCUUGCAACUCGAAUCCAUGAUAAUCAGAGUCGAUAUUCAUCGCAGAUCAGUCUCGCUGCUGUGAAUACGCUCCCCGG
RNAcentral lists this ribosomal RNA (827 nucleotides) under uncultured bacterium. RNAcentral's name for it is "bacterial SSU rRNA". It matches the Rfam family "Bacterial small subunit ribosomal RNA", at positions 557 to 1378 of the family's 1533-position model. The record is from RNAcentral.